CCUACGGGAGGCAGCAGUGGGGAAUCUUGCGCAAUGGGCGAAAGCCUGACGCAGCAACGCCGCGUGCGGGAAGAAGGCUUUCGGGCUGUAAACCGCUUUCAGCAGGAACGAAAAUGACGGUACCUGCAGAAGAAGGAGCGGCCAACUAUGUGCCAGCAGCCGCGGUGAUACAUAGGCUUCAAGCGUUGUCCGGAUUUAUUGGGCGUAAAGAGUUCGUAGGCGGUCAAGUAAGUCGGGUGUGAAAAUUCUGGGCUCAACCCAGAGACGCCACCCGAUACUGCUUAACUUGAGUUCGAUAGGGGAGUGGGGAAUUCCUAGUGUAGCGGUGAAAUGCGCAGAUAUUAGGAGGAACACCGGUGGCGAAGGCGCCACUCUGGAUCGAUACUGACGCUGAGGAACGAAAGCAUGGGUAGCAAACAGGAUUAGAUACCCUGGUAGUCCAUGCCGUAAACGGUGGGCACUAGGUGUGGGUUUCUAUUAACGAAAUCCGCGCCGUCGCUAACGCAUUAAGUGCCCCGCCUGGGGAGUACGGUCGCAAGACUAAAACUCAAAAGGAUUAGACGG
Molecule: ribosomal RNA, 564 nt
Filed under: uncultured bacterium
Lineage: Bacteria
Description: bacterial SSU rRNA
Rfam family: Bacterial small subunit ribosomal RNA
Source: RNAcentral